Molecule: ribosomal RNA, 252 nt
Filed under: uncultured bacterium
Lineage: Bacteria
Description: partial 16S ribosomal RNA
Rfam family: Bacterial small subunit ribosomal RNA
Source: RNAcentral
UACGUAGGUCCCGAGCGUUGUCCGGAUUUAUUGGGCGUAAAGCGGGCGCAGGUGGUUUAUUAAGUCUGGUGUAAAAGGCAGUGGCUCAACCAUUGUAUGCAUUGGAAACUGGUAGACUUGAGUGCAGGAGAGGAGAGUGGAAUUCCAUGUGUAGCGGUGAAAUGCGUAGAUAUAUGGAGGAACCCCGGUGGCGAAAGCGGCUCUCUGGCCUGUAACUGACACUGAGGCUCGAAAGCGUGGGGAGCAAACAGG